This is a non-coding RNA of Mycena galericulata, 91 nucleotides long. The record is from the annotation of a GenBank genome assembly. NCBI's taxonomy places the organism in Eukaryota, Fungi, Basidiomycota, Agaricomycetes, Agaricales, Mycenaceae.
GGCUCGGUGGCGGAUGCCCCGCGCCUGCAUCCGAUACCCGAAUACGCAUAGUGUUUCGCAGGACGCGCUCGUUCGACUCGAGCCCGGGCCC